GGGGCCGAUUAGGAUUCGACGCCGGUAGCAAAACUUGAGGGGCAUGCCGAGUUGGUAACAGAACUCGUAAAUAAACUGUUGCAAACCUCCAUAAUU
Molecule: transfer-messenger RNA, 96 nt
Filed under: Pseudomonadales bacterium RIFCSPLOWO2_02_FULL_63_210
Lineage: Bacteria; Pseudomonadati; Pseudomonadota; Gammaproteobacteria; Pseudomonadales
Description: partial transfer-messenger RNA
Rfam family: transfer-messenger RNA
About the family: Bacterial tmRNA, also known as 10Sa RNA or SsrA, is named for its dual tRNA and mRNA-like properties.
Source: RNAcentral